AGCGAACGCUGGCGGCAGGCCUAACACAUGCAAGUCGAACGAACCUUUCGGGGUUAGUGGCGGACGGGUGAGUAACACGUGGGAACGUGCCUUUAGGUUCGGAAUAACUCAGGGAAACUUGUGCUAAUACCGAAUGUGCCCUUCGGGGGAAAGAUUAAUCGCCUUUAGAGCGGCCCGCGUCUGAUUAGCUAGUUGGUUGAGGUAAUGGCUCACCAAGGCGACGAUCAGUAGCUGGUCUGAGAGGAUGAUCAGGCACAUUGGGACUGAGACACGGCCCAAACUCCUACGGGAGGCGGCAGUGGGGAAUCUUGCGAAAUGGGCGAAAGCCUGACGCAGCCAUGCCGCGUGAAUGAUGAAGGUCUUAGGAUUGUAAAAUUCUUUCACCGGGGACGAUAAUGACGGUACCCGGAGAAGAAGCCCCGGCUAACUUCGUG
RNAcentral lists this ribosomal RNA (434 nucleotides) under uncultured bacterium. Its description in RNAcentral is "partial 16S ribosomal RNA". It matches the Rfam family "Bacterial small subunit ribosomal RNA", at positions 29 to 507 of the family's 1533-position model. The record is from RNAcentral.